Molecule: ribosomal RNA, 512 nt
Filed under: uncultured bacterium
Lineage: Bacteria
Description: bacterial SSU rRNA
Rfam family: Bacterial small subunit ribosomal RNA
Source: RNAcentral
GAAAAACAGACCGGUGGCCAAGCGAAAGAGAUAAGUUAUCCACCUGGGGAGUACGACCGCAAGGUUGAAACUCAAAGGAAUUGACGGGGGCCCGCACAAGCGGAGGAACAUGUGGUUUAAUUCGAUGAUACGCGAGGAACCUUACCCGGGCUCGAACGGUGCAUGAAUAGAUCAGAGAUGGUUUAGUCCUUCGGGACAUGUAUCGAGGUGCUGCAUGGUUGUCGUCAGCUCGUGCCGUGAGGUGUCGGCUUAAGUGCCAUAACGAGCGCAACCCUUGUCGUUAGUUGCCAUCAAGUAAAGUUGGGGACUCUAGCGAGACUGCCACCGUAAGGUGCGAGGAAGGGGGGGAUGACGUCAAAUCAGCACGGCCCUUACGUCCGGGGCGACACACGUGUUACAAUGGCAGGUACAGAGGGCAGCUACCCAGCGAUGGGGUGCGAAUCUCGAAAGCCUGUCUCAGUUCGGAUCGGAGUCUGCAACUCGACUCCGUGAAGUUGGAUUCGCUAGUAAUC